Non-coding RNA from Manis javanica (Malayan pangolin), 1341 nucleotides. The record is from RefSeq and is a predicted model, not a curated record. Lineage: Eukaryota; Metazoa; Chordata; Mammalia; Pholidota; Manidae.
UGGGAAGUUGAAUACCGUCCCCGGUAAACUUAGAGCAAACUGUCAGAUAAACCCCCGCCCCGCAGCUCUGGGUUGAAUUCUGCAGAGCUUUCACUUGGUGCUUGCAUGCGUGAGCGCUAAAAUUCCUGGACAGAGAAAUAGAGUGAAAGUACAUGAGAAAGAGUGAAGAAAUGAGAAAACAUCUAAAGCAUUCAGAAAACAUCUUCCAAGAGGCAGGCUGAAUCAUCCUUCAGGGCCAGAAAUGUGGAAGGCAGUUUAAUGUUGGACCAGUUCAGAUCCUUAUGAGACAACUAUUGGACUGUGAAGGUUGUGAAACAUGCCUGGAAAUCUUUUCACACCCCUCUCAGAGCCGGAGGCUUAUAUUCCCUCCUCUUGAGUGUGGGCCCUUUUAGCGGCUCACUUGCAAACAGCAGCAGCAGCAGAAGUGCAGUGUCUAAUGCAACUUGCAUCUGGUUCUCUCCGGACACUUGUUUUGGAGCCAUGAGCUACUGUGUCCUACCACACUGAGGUCUCCAGGAUGGGGAGGAGCUCCGACCAUGUGGAGUGGCUGUGUGCAGCGCUCUGGGCAGUGGCCUAGCCAAGGUCCCAUCCAACAGCUUCAGCAGCCUAGUGUCCAUCACCAGACAUAUGCUCGAAGAUGCCACCAGGGGAUCCUCUGCCUCCAGUUACUCCCAGCUGUUGACUUGCCUGGCCAAGGCCCCGGAGAGGAUGGAGCACAGGCAAAACAUCCACACGGCGUCAUUUGUAAGCAUGAAAAAAAUCACUGUAUUCCACUGUGUUUCGAGUGAUUAGCUGUGCAGCAGCUCUGACCAGUGCUCGGAGUUGGAAGUCUGUGCACGGGAGCAGUAGUUGGCAUUGGCCGAACUGAGGCUGACGCAGCACAUCCUGACUGGAGUUUGGUUUCCUUUAUCCAGAAGAGUAGCCACAACCCGACUAACCGUGUGGUGGCCCAGUGGGCUAAGAGAAUGGGAAGCUGAGCAAUAUUGGGACAGCCCUGCACCCCCACUUUUGGAGCCGGGAGAAGGGACUUUGCUACCACGCUCCCGGUCCUCCUGCCCCCUCGGUCACUCCCUCCGAGGAGGAAGGGGCUGAUGUACUUGCUGGAAGUUUGAGAAAAAGAAAUGGGCUCUGUGGGCUCAGCCUAGGGCCUCCUCUUUCUUCUUUGGGAACCAGGUAAACCACAGGGAGCAUUCUCGGCUCCUCCGACCACGUCCUAAGCUGGGGGACCCAAGUCUUGCCAGGAAAGCACAUGGUGGUGUAGCUUACUCUGCAACUAAGACUAAGUCCACUGUGUACUACCACCUGCCACUCACUUUUAUAAAUAAUAAAGAUGAUGUUUUG